GGGCCCGUAGCUUAGUUAGGUAGAGCGAUCGGCUCUUAACCGAUAGGUCAAGGGUUCGAAUCCCUUCGGGCCCG
This 74-nucleotide transfer RNA is filed under the name Methanobacteriota archaeon. RNAcentral describes it as "Euryarchaeota archaeon tRNA-Lys". It matches the Rfam family "tRNA". Rfam says of the family: Transfer RNA (tRNA) molecules are approximately 80 nucleotides in length. Their secondary structure includes four short double-helical elements and three loops (D, anti-codon, and T loops). The record is from RNAcentral. Lineage: Archaea; Methanobacteriati; Methanobacteriota.